This 1231-nucleotide ribosomal RNA is filed under the name metagenome. RNAcentral's name for it is "bacterial LSU rRNA". It matches the Rfam family "Bacterial large subunit ribosomal RNA", at positions 1564 to 2805 of the family's 2925-position model. The record is from RNAcentral.
UGAAUACGAGACGCUAAGGCGUCGAAGUAGUGUAUGUCAUACUUCCAAGAAAAGCUUGCACUGUCAUAAAUAGAAAAUGCCUGUACCAUAACCGACACAGGUGGGUAGGUAGAGUAUACUAAGGGGCGCGAGAUAACUCUCUCUGAGGAACUCGGCAAAAUGACUCCGUAACUUCGGGAGAAGGAGUGCCUUAUUUUUAAGGUUGCAAUAACAAGAUCCAAGCAACUGUUUAUCAAAAACACAGGUCUCCGCUAAGUCGUAAGACGAUGUAAGGGGGCUGACGCCUGCCCAGUGCCAGAAGGUUAAAGAAGUUGGUUAGCAUUAGCGAAGCUGAUAACUGAAGCCCUGGUGAACGGCGGCCGUAACCAUAACGGUCCUAAGGUAGCGAAAUUCCUUGUCGGGUAAGUUCCGACCCGCACGAAAGGCGUAAUGAUUUGGAUACUGUCUCGGAGAGGGGCUCGGUGAAAUAGACUUGUCUGUGAAGAUGCGGACUACCUGCACCUGGACAGAAAGACCCUAUGAAGCUUUACUGUAACUUGAAAUUGAAAUUGGACUUUAGUCGCGCAGCAUAGGUGGGAGGCGUUGAUGAUGUUCUUGCGGGAACAUUGGAGCUAUCAGUGAGAUACCACUCUUCUAAUGUUAGAUUUCUAACUUUGAACCAUUAUCUGGUCAGAGAACAGUUUCAGGUGGGCAGUUUGACUGGGGCGGUCGCCUCCCAAAUGGUAACGGAGGCGUACAAAGGUUUCCUCUGAACGGAUAGAAAUCGUAUCUAGAGUGUAAAGGCAUAAGGAAGCUUGACUGUGAGACCUACAAGUCGAGCAGGGACGAAAGUCGGUCUUAGUGAUCUGACGGUACUGAGUGGAAAGGCCGUCACUCAACGGAUAAAAGUUACUCUAGGAUAACAGGCUGAUCUCCCCCAAGAGUUCACAUCGACGGGGAGGUUUGGCACCUCGAUGUCGGCUCAUCGCAUCCUGGGGCGGUAGUACGUCCCAAGGGUUGGGCUGUUCGCCCAUGAAAGCGGUACGCGAGCUGGGUUCAGAACGUCGUGAGACAGUUCGGUCCAUAUCCGGUGUAGGCGUUAGAAUAUUGAGAGGAGCCUUCUCUAGUACGAGAGGACCGAGAAGGACAUACCUCUGGUGUACCAGUUAUCGUGCCAACGGUAAACGCUGGGUAGCUAUGUAUGGAGUGGAUAACCGCUGAAAGCAUCUAAGUGGGAAGCCCACCUCAAGAU